RNAcentral lists this ribosomal RNA (254 nucleotides) under uncultured bacterium. RNAcentral describes it as "partial 16S ribosomal RNA". It matches the Rfam family "Bacterial small subunit ribosomal RNA", at positions 524 to 776 of the family's 1533-position model. The record is from RNAcentral.
UACGGGGGGAGCAAGCGUUGUUCGGAUUUACUGGGCGUAAAGGGCGCGUAGGCGGCCUCUGCAAGUCGACUGUGAAAUCUCCGGGCUUAACCCGGAAAGGUCAGCCGAUACUGCAGGGCUAGAGUGCAGAAGGGGCAACUGGAAUUCUCGGUGUAGCGGUGAAAUGCGUAGAUAUGUGGAGGAACACCUGUGGCGAAGGCGCCUUGCUGGCCAAUUUCUGACGCUGAGGCGCGAAAGCGUGGGGAGCAAACAGG